ACACUUUAAACAAGAUCACCUUGAGAUCACAUGAACACCUUUAUAUUCACAACAUGAUUGCCUUUACUUCAUUUGAUUCUCAUUCAAGUCCUUCACAUCACAUUCACAUAUAUGAUAUCAUGUCAACACUUCAAUUCCUCAUAUAAUGCCUCCAAGGCCAUAAACACAAUACAUUCAAUAAGUAAACACCUCCACCAUAAGUGGAUCACACAUCAAUCUAUCACAAUUCUAUAUCAAUUCUACCUUAACAAUGAAGUUAGGUCCACUUACCCUUUUUCCCAAGCCACAAUCACCAUUCCUCAACUCUCCAACAAUUCACAAUAGAUAAGCAUAGAUAAUAAUAGAAGUCAACUAUUCAACUCAAUCCAAGCAUACUUCCAUCAUCAUUCAAUCAUAAAUAAUAAACCCACUUCAUAAGCCAACUUUAGGAAACUUGCCAAGACAUG
This 446-nucleotide long non-coding RNA is filed under the name Solanum tuberosum (potato). RNAcentral's name for it is "long non-coding RNA (STUB_LNC004807)". Lineage: Eukaryota; Viridiplantae; Streptophyta; Magnoliopsida; Solanales; Solanaceae. The record is from RNAcentral.